RNAcentral lists this long non-coding RNA (778 nucleotides) under Coffea arabica (coffee). RNAcentral's name for it is "long non-coding RNA (CARA_LNC007375)". The record is from RNAcentral. Lineage: Eukaryota; Viridiplantae; Streptophyta; Magnoliopsida; Gentianales; Rubiaceae.
GCAUUCGUGUGUGUGACUUAGUAGUCCUGACGAGAGUUGGGCAGGUAGCUCGCUAACCCUUAGUAUACGCCCUAGGGGAAGGUGGGGCUGUCAUAGACUCACUAUAACAAAACAUUUCUAAUUUUUUAAUAUUUACAGCUUUUACUUAAUGAUAAAGACCCAGUGCUCUUCACACCUCCAUGGCUUGUUGUUCUUUGAUAAUAAGGUUGUGAGGACCGAAAAUUCCUUUAGAAUUUCCUCCCUUUUUUUGAAAAAUUAAUUUAUAUUUUCUUCUAUGUUUCUUUACUUGAUUAUUUAACUACUUACUAGCCCUAAAUUUCAUGGUGAUUUCAUUAGUUGAGCCAAGAGUUUUACUUUUACUUUUCAAGUUAGAGUAAGUUAGGGUUUUGGUGUAUCUUGGUAGCCUGAUUAAUUAGUGAGGUGUGUGUAUUAAAUUUGGUGGUUAAGAGUGAGUUUUAUAUAUGACGAAGUGUUAAUUAGAAGUGCAAUUAAUAAGUUAAUGAAUCAUAAGUUAACACACUAGUACGCGCGAGUUAAGGAAAAUCAACUUGAACCGACGUGCACUAUUUGCUACCGAUUAAGUACACCACCACAUGACCAAUACUUUCUUACCCUAAUCUCCUUGUUUUUAUUUCAUUUAAUUUCCCCUAAAUUAACCCUUAAGUCAGCCGCCAUUUUUGACCAAAGAAAAGGAAGAAAAGAAAAAAAAAAGAAACCAUCUUGUAGUGCCAAGUGUCGGAAAUCCAAGGAACUUUGACCAAGUUUAUUUCUUUCCUUC